GUACUGCUAAAGAGUCCCAAACCAGGACGAAACAGCUGUCCAGUAC
This is a non-coding RNA of Trichobilharzia regenti, 46 nucleotides long. NCBI's taxonomy places the organism in Eukaryota, Metazoa, Platyhelminthes, Trematoda, Strigeidida, Schistosomatidae. The record is from Rfam.